Molecule: non-coding RNA, 119 nt
Organism: Nippostrongylus brasiliensis
Lineage: Eukaryota; Metazoa; Nematoda; Chromadorea; Rhabditida; Heligmosomidae
Source: Rfam
UAUCUCUGGCUCCUCUGCAUUUAACCGAGAAAAUCUUUCGCCUUUUACUAAAGAUUUCCGUGCAGAGGUGCAAUUAUGAGUAUACAAUAAUUUUUGCAAUCCCCUCGAAAGAGCGGGAU